This 541-nucleotide ribosomal RNA is filed under the name Staphylococcus aureus MM66. RNAcentral's name for it is "bacterial SSU rRNA". It matches the Rfam family "Bacterial small subunit ribosomal RNA", at positions 1012 to 1533 of the family's 1533-position model. The record is from RNAcentral. Lineage: Bacteria; Bacillati; Bacillota; Bacilli; Caryophanales; Staphylococcaceae.
CUUCCCCUUCGGGGGACAAAGUGACAGGUGGUGCAUGGUUGUCGUCAGCUCGUGUCGUGAGAUGUUGGGUUAAGUCCCGCAACGAGCGCAACCCUUAAGCUUAGUUGCCAUCAUUAAGUUGGGCACUCUAAGUUGACUGCCGGUGACAAACCGGAGGAAGGUGGGGAUGACGUCAAAUCAUCAUGCCCCUUAUGAUUUGGGCUACACACGUGCUACAAUGGACAAUACAAAGGGCAGCGAAACCGCGAGGUCAAGCAAAUCCCAUAAAGUUGUUCUCAGUUCGGAUUGUAGUCUGCAACUCGACUACAUGAAGCUGGAAUCGCUAGUAAUCGUAGAUCAGCAUGCUACGGUGAAUACGUUCCCGGGUCUUGUACACACCGCCCGUCACACCACGAGAGUUUGUAACACCCGAAGCCGGUGGAGUAACCUUUUAGGAGCUAGCCGUCGAAGGUGGGACAAAUGAUUGGGGUGAAGUCGUAACAAGGUAGCCGUAUCGGAAGGUGCGGCUGGAUCACCUCCUUUCUAAGGAUAUAUUCGGAAC